RNAcentral lists this ribosomal RNA (450 nucleotides) under Gemella haemolysans. RNAcentral describes it as "bacterial SSU rRNA". It matches the Rfam family "Bacterial small subunit ribosomal RNA", at positions 28 to 465 of the family's 1533-position model. The record is from RNAcentral. Lineage: Bacteria; Bacillati; Bacillota; Bacilli; Caryophanales; Gemellaceae.
GACGAACGCUGGCGGCGUGCCUAAUACAUGCAAGUCGAGCGAAGUUUUUCUGGUGCUUGCACCGGAAAAACUUAGCGGCGAACGGGUGAGUAACACGUAAAGAACCUGCCUCAUAGACUGGGACAACUAUUGGAAACGAUAGCUAAUACCGGAUAACAGCAUUAACUGCAUGGUUGAUGUUUAAAAGUUGGUUUUGCUAACACUAUGAGAUGGCUUUGCGGUGCAUUAGCUAGUUGGUGGGGUAAAGGCCUACCAAGGCGACGAUGCAUAGCCGACCUGAGAGGGUGAUCGGCCACACUGGGACUGAGACACGGCCCAGACUCCUACGGGAGGCAGCAGUAGGGAAUCUUCCGCAAUGGGCGAAAGCCUGACGGAGCAACGCCGCGUGAGUGAAGAAGGAUUUCGGUUCGUAAAGCUCUGUUGUUAGGGAAGAAUGAUUGUGUAGUAACU